UUCGGUGAGGAAAAGGCACGCCGGCGGCCAAAUCAACUCUGUUUUUACACUGAAACUCUGAGAAAAAACACAAAUGAAUCAAAACUUUCAACAACGGAUCUCUUGGUUCUGGCAUCGAUGAAGAACGCAGCGAAAUGCGAUAAGUAAUGUGAAUUGCAGAAUUCAGUGAAUCAUCGAAUCUUUGAACGCACAUUGCGCCCUCUGGUAUUCCGGAGGGCAUGCCUGUUCGAGCGUUUUUUUCUUUUCUCAAGCAUUGCUUGGUGUUGGGGCACUGCUUCUAACGAAGCAGGCCCUGAAAUCUAGUGGCGAGCUCGCCAGGACCCCGAGCGCAGUAGUUAAACCCUCGCUCUGGAAGGCCCUGGCGGUGCCCUGCCGUUAAACCCCCAACUUCUGAAAAUUUGACCUCGGAUCAGGUAGGAAUACCCGC
RNAcentral lists this ribosomal RNA (427 nucleotides) under Phomopsis sp. MX304. RNAcentral describes it as "eukaryotic LSU rRNA". The stretch from base 83 to 236 matches the Rfam family "5.8S ribosomal RNA". Lineage: Eukaryota; Fungi; Ascomycota; Sordariomycetes; Diaporthales; Diaporthaceae. The record is from RNAcentral.